GUAGGGUGCGAGCGUUAUUCGGAAUUAUUGGGCGUAAAGAGGUCGUCGGCGGUUUGUCGCGUUUGUAGUGAAAGUCCGUGGCUUAACCCCGGAUAUGCGGUGGGUACGGGCAGAAUAGAGUGCAGUAGGGGAGCAUGGAAUUCCUGGUGUAGCGGUGGAAUGCGCAGAUAUCAGGAGGAACCCCCAUGGGGAAGGCAGGUCUUUGGGUUGUAAAUGACGGUGAGGAGUGAAAGCCUGGGGAGCGAACCGGAUUAGAUUCCCUGGUAGUUCAUUCCGUAAACGUAGGGCAGUAGGUGUGGGGAGCAUUUCACGGUUUCCGCGCCGCAGCUAACGCAUUAAGCGCUCCGCCUGGGGAGUACGGCCGCAAGGCUA
RNAcentral lists this ribosomal RNA (372 nucleotides) under uncultured bacterium. RNAcentral's name for it is "bacterial SSU rRNA". It matches the Rfam family "Bacterial small subunit ribosomal RNA", at positions 527 to 896 of the family's 1533-position model. The record is from RNAcentral.